CGAGGCAGGUCGGGAGGUGAGCUGGGUGCGCCACGCUCCGUGCGAGACGUGGGCAUGUCCAGUGCCUCCUUCCCUCUCCUCACGCGGACCAACUACCCCAGUUGGUCCGUCCUGAUGAAAGUCAUCAUGGAGGCGCGGCAUAUGUGGAAAGCCGUGGAAACCGGCGAUGUCGAGUACGAGGAGGACCGGUUGGCGAUGGAGGCGAUCUUGCGCUCCAUCCCACCGGAGAUGGUGCUCACCCUUGGCGCCAAGGGGACGGCCAAGGAAGCAUGGGACACCAUCAAGACUCUGCGCAUCGGCGUGGAGCGUGUACGGGAGUCGACCUUGCGCCUCCAGUACGAGGGGAUCCGGUUCAAGGCCGGUGAACAAGUCGACGACUUCACCUUGCGGCUGCAAGGUCUCGUCACCUAG
RNAcentral lists this ribosomal RNA (411 nucleotides) under Triticum aestivum (bread wheat). RNAcentral's name for it is "partial small subunit ribosomal RNA". Lineage: Eukaryota; Viridiplantae; Streptophyta; Magnoliopsida; Poales; Poaceae. The record is from RNAcentral.